This 371-nucleotide ribosomal RNA is filed under the name uncultured bacterium. Its description in RNAcentral is "bacterial SSU rRNA". It matches the Rfam family "Bacterial small subunit ribosomal RNA", at positions 29 to 413 of the family's 1533-position model. The record is from RNAcentral.
AACGAACGCUGGCGGCAGGCCUAACACAUGCAAGUCGAACGCCGUAGCAAUACGGAGUGGCAGACGGGUGAGUAACGCGUGGGAACAUACCCCUCGGUUCGGAAUAACUCAGGGAAACUUGAGCUAAUACCGGAUACGUCCGAGGUUUUGAUCGACCUUGGAGAAAGAUUUAUCGCCGAAGGAUUGGCCCGCGUCUGAUUAGCUUGUUGGUGAGGUAAUGGCUCACCAAGGCGACGAUCAGUAGCUGGUCUGAGAGGAUGAUCAGCCACAUUGGGACUGAGACACGGCCCAAACUCCUACGGGAGGCAGCAGUGGGGAAUAUUGGACAAUGGGCGAAAGCCUGAUCCAGCCAUGCCGCGUGAGUGAUGAAG